Molecule: ribosomal RNA, 253 nt
Filed under: uncultured bacterium
Lineage: Bacteria
Description: partial 16S ribosomal RNA
Rfam family: Bacterial small subunit ribosomal RNA
Source: RNAcentral
UACGGAGGGUGCAAACGUUGCUCGGAAUCAUUGGGCGUAAAGCGCACGUAGGCGGUCCGACAAGUCGGAUGUGAAAGCCCUCGGCUCAACCGGGGAAGUGCAUUCGAAACUGUCGAACUCGAGUAUGGAAGAGGGUCUCGGAAUUCCCGGUGUAGAGGUGAAAUUCGUAGAUAUCGGGAGGAACACCAGUGGCGAAGGCGGAGACCUGGGCCAAUACUGACGCUGAGGUGCGAAAGCGUGGGGAGCAAACAGG